UACGGAGGGUGCGAGCGUUAAUCGGAAUUACUGGGCGUAAAGCGUGCGCAGGCGGAUAUGUAAGACAGGUGUGGAAUCCCCGGGCUUAACCUGGGAACUGCACUUGAGACUGCACAGCUGGAGUGCGGUAGCAGGGUACGGAAUUCCGCGUGUAGCGGUGAAAUGCGUAGAUAUGUGGAGGAACACCGAUGGCGAAGGCUGUCCACUAGGCCUGUACUGACGCUCAGUCACGAAAGCGUGGGGAGCAUACAGG
This 253-nucleotide ribosomal RNA is filed under the name uncultured bacterium. Its description in RNAcentral is "partial 16S ribosomal RNA". It matches the Rfam family "Bacterial small subunit ribosomal RNA", at positions 524 to 776 of the family's 1533-position model. The record is from RNAcentral.